GGCAAAAUGUUAUUUGUCCUUUGGUUGGGAUCCCAUUGUAUCUCUAAAUUGCUUAUGGUAGAAUGGAAAUUUUCAUUUUGUCGAUUUUACCGAUGAAUGAACAUGGCAGAUUUUUCUAUUUUUGUGUGUCUUCUUCCAUUUCUUUAAUGUUUAUUAAUUUUCAUUGUAGACAUUUUCAUGGAUAUGAAACUGGACACCGAGUUGACGCUGAAGUUCAGCUGCUGGGUAAUCUUCCAUUUCUGGAGCCUGCUCAUCUUCCUUGUAAAACCCGGCUAGGCCUUCACCCUGGACAGGAGCAACUGGUUCGGAGUCAGCGGCUCAGCCAUGAGGAAGCCGAGAAGUGA
Molecule: long non-coding RNA, 344 nt
Filed under: Oryctolagus cuniculus (rabbit)
Lineage: Eukaryota; Metazoa; Chordata; Mammalia; Lagomorpha; Leporidae
Description: lncRNA (ENSOCUG00000036330.1)
Source: RNAcentral